Molecule: ribosomal RNA, 441 nt
Filed under: uncultured bacterium
Lineage: Bacteria
Description: partial 16S ribosomal RNA
Rfam family: Bacterial small subunit ribosomal RNA
Source: RNAcentral
CCUACGGGUGGCAGCAGUGGGGAAUAUUGCACAAUGGGGGCAACCCUGAUGCAGCAACGCCGCGUGAGUGAAGAAGUCCUUCUGUAUGUAAAGCUCUAUCAGCAGGGAAGAAGAAUGCCGUUACCUGACUACGUUGCCUCGGCUAACUACGUGCCAGCAGCCGCGGUCAUACGUAGGGGGCACGCGUGAGCCGGAUUUCCUGGGUGUAACGGGAGCGUAGACGGGUGUGCAAGUCUGAAGUGAAAGCCCGUGGCUCAACCGCGGAACUGCUUUGGAAACUGUAUAGCUUGAGUACUGGAGAGGCAGGCGGAAUUCCUGGUGUAGCGGUGAAAUGCGUAGAUAUUAGGAGGAACACCGGUGGCGAAGGCGGCCUGCUGGACAGAAACUGACGUUGAGGCUCGAAAGCGUGGGGAGCAUACAGGAUUAGAUACCCGAGUAGUC